AUAUAAUUGAGUUUUCUGUUUUUGC
This 25-nucleotide non-coding RNA is filed under the name Rattus norvegicus (Norway rat). The record is from RNAcentral. Lineage: Eukaryota; Metazoa; Chordata; Mammalia; Rodentia; Muridae.